This is a non-coding RNA of Triticum aestivum (bread wheat), 115 nucleotides long. NCBI's taxonomy places the organism in Eukaryota, Viridiplantae, Streptophyta, Magnoliopsida, Poales, Poaceae. The record is from Rfam.
AUAAUACUCCCUCCGUCCAGAAUAUCUUGUCAUCAAAAUGGAUGUGUCUAGAACUAAAAUACAUCUAGAUACAUCCAUUUCAAUGAAAAGUAUUUUCGGACGGAGGGAGUAGUAG